This 79-nucleotide non-coding RNA is filed under the name Nakamurella lactea DSM 19367. RNAcentral's name for it is "L31-Actinobacteria ribosomal protein leader". It matches the Rfam family "L31-Actinobacteria ribosomal protein leader". Lineage: Bacteria; Bacillati; Actinomycetota; Actinomycetes; Nakamurellales; Nakamurellaceae. The record is from RNAcentral.
CAGGCUCCGGUUCACGGUGCCCGCUUCGAGAGUCGGCCGAUCCGUCGGCGGCUCAGCGGCGAGCAGCGACCCGGCGGCC